AAAUGCGAUAAGUAAUGUGAAUUGCAGAAUUCCGUGAAUCAUCGAAUCUUUGAACGCACAUUGCGCCCCCUGGCAUUCCGGGGGGCAUGCCUGUCCGAGCGUCAUUUCUGCCCUCAAGCACGGCUUGUGUGUUGGGUGUGGUCCCCCCGGGGACCUGCCCGAAAGGCAGCGGCGACGUCCGUCUGGUCCUCGAGCGUAUGGGGCUCUGUCACUCGCUCGGGAAGGACCUGCGGGGGUUGGUCACCACCAUAUUUCACCACGGUUGACCUCGGAUCAGGUAGGAGUUACCCGCUGAACUUAAGC
RNAcentral lists this unclassified non-coding RNA (303 nucleotides) under plant metagenome. RNAcentral's name for it is "partial contains 5.8S ribosomal RNA, internal transcribed spacer 2, and large subunit ribosomal RNA". The stretch from base 1 to 104 matches the Rfam family "5.8S ribosomal RNA", at positions 51 to 154 of the family's 154-position model. The record is from RNAcentral.